Molecule: long non-coding RNA, 837 nt
Organism: Parus major (Great Tit)
Lineage: Eukaryota; Metazoa; Chordata; Aves; Passeriformes; Paridae
Exons: 3
Source: RefSeq, a predicted model, not a curated record
CAGGGAGUUUUCCUCCUUCCCCCUGCACAGUCUGUAAUUCCCUGGUAUUAUAACAUGUCAUUUUUCUAGCAUACCUGAGGAGCCAGGAAAUAAUGUCUGAGCCUAGAGGGACAGCAACGAUGGAACCUCCAAAGAGGCGAGAGAUGGAGAGAUUAGAGCAAGAAACGAAGCCAGCGGAUGCUGCCAGUUCCCAUCACCUAAUCAAAGCUGCUCCGUGGAAGGGCCGCCUCGUUAUUACAUCCCAUUAUAGCCUCCGGCAGCGGCUGUACUUCAUAACCGCCCAGGAAAGCUGACAGAGAACAAAGCUGUCCUCCAGGAACAAAGAAAGGAGAAUGGUCUGUGACUGGGGGGAAGGCAGAGCACGGCUGUGGGGAGGAGAUGAAGCCAAGAGACACCAGCAAAGCUGCCAGGACUCAGUGGAUAGACAAACCUCCCAGUGUGGUAAAUAAAACCCCAGUUGAUGGUUGAAAUAAUGGCUGGGUCCAUCAGUGCUGCUCCAAACAUUGCCUGACCAUGUGCUGCCGCAUCUAAAGACCAAGGAAGAGCUGCAGCCAGCCUUGGCUGCAAUUGCUCAGUUUCUUCAACACCAUCCUGUGUGGUUGUAAGGAAAAAAGGGGGCUUAGACCUGGGUUUCCAGCUGUUGUGCCUGGGUUUGCUGAGCUGCCCUCAUGGGCUGUCCUUCAGGGCUUUGCUCGCAGCCUCAGCUCUCGGCAAAAUGCCGCAGACAAAACCCUGACGCCGAUUUCCCCCAGCAGCGUGUUCAGCACCUGAGGCUUCCCUGCCAGCUCAGCCAGCAAAGCAAGAGCUGCCUUUUGAUGCUGUGCAGUUAAUCCCUGC